This 74-nucleotide transfer RNA is filed under the name Candidatus Dormiibacterota bacterium. RNAcentral describes it as "tRNA-Gly". It matches the Rfam family "tRNA". From Rfam's summary of the family: Transfer RNA (tRNA) molecules are approximately 80 nucleotides in length. Their secondary structure includes four short double-helical elements and three loops (D, anti-codon, and T loops). RNAcentral also lists the same sequence under 2 other names. Lineage: Bacteria; Bacillati; Candidatus Dormiibacterota. The record is from RNAcentral.
GCGGGUGUAGCACAGUGGUAGUGCGGCAGCCUUCCAAGCUGUUUACGCGGGUUCGAUUCCCGCCACCCGCUCCA